RNAcentral lists this unclassified non-coding RNA (376 nucleotides) under uncultured Gammaproteobacteria bacterium. RNAcentral's name for it is "contains 16S-23S intergenic spacer region". The record is from RNAcentral. Lineage: Bacteria; Pseudomonadati; Pseudomonadota; Gammaproteobacteria.
UCCGGCUUGUCACCGGCAGUCUCAUUAGAGUGCCCAACUAAAUGAUGGCAACUAAUGACAAGGGUUGCGCUCGUUGCGGGACUUAACCCAACAUCUCACGACACGAGCUGACGACAGCCAUGCAGCACCUGUGUUACGGCUCCCGAAGGCACUCCUCCGUCUCUGGAGGAUUCCGUACAUGUCAAGACCAGGUAAGGUUCUUCGCGUUGCAUCGAAUUAAUCCACAUCAUCCACCGCUUGUGCGGGUCCCCGUCAAUUCCUUUGAGUUUUAAUCUUGCGACCGUACUCCCCAGGCGGUCAAUUUCACGCGUUAGCUACGCUACUAAGCAAUCAAGUUGCCCAACAGCUAAUUGACAUCGUUUAGGGCGUGGACUAC